Non-coding RNA from Pelobates cultripes (western spadefoot toad), 217 nucleotides. The record is from the annotation of a GenBank genome assembly. Lineage: Eukaryota; Metazoa; Chordata; Amphibia; Anura; Pelobatidae.
UGUACAUGAAGGGUACUGUUGUACUCCUGAGACAUUGCUGAAUACAAACGUGUAUUUUAUUGCAGUAAAAUCUAAAAGUAUUAUGACAUUCACAGUUAAAAUGUCAUGCAGAACUUGAAAAAUAACAUUUCUUAAUUUCUCACACUUUUUUUUAGAUAUUAUUCACAUUCAAUUAUGUUUCAUAUAUAAAUAUGUGAUAUGACACUCUAAGCACCAC